GGUGUGCAUAUCAAUAAGCGGAGGAAAAGAAACCAACAGGGAUUGCCUUAGUAACGGCGAGUGAAGCGGCAAAAGCUCAAAUUUGAAAUCUGGCACCUUCGGUGUCCGAGUUGUAAUUUGAAGAAGGUAACUUUGGAGUUGGCUCUUGUCUAUGUUCCUUGGAACAGGACGUCACAGAGGGUGAGAAUCCCGUGCGAUGAGAUGCCCAAUUCUAUGUAAAGUGCUUUCGAAGAGUCGAGUUGUUUGGGAAUGCAGCUCUAAGUGGGUGGUAAAUUCCAUCUAAAGCUAAAUAUUGGCGAGAGACCGAUAGCGAACAAGUACAGUGAUGGAAAGAUGAAAAGAACUUUGAAAAGAGAGUGAAAAAGUACGUGAAAUUGUUGAAAGGGAAGGGCUUGAGAUCAGACUUGGUAUUUUGCGAUCCUUUCCUUCUUGGUUGGGUUCCUCGCAGCUUACUGGGCCAGCAUCGGUUUGGAUGGUAGGAUAAUGACUAAGGAAUGUGGCUCUACUUCGGUGGAGUGUUAUAGCCUUGGUUGAUACUGCCUGUCUAGACCGAGGACUGCGUCUUUGACUAGGAUGCUGGCAUAAUGAUCUUAAGCCACCCGUCUUGAAACAACAGAACCAA
This 622-nucleotide ribosomal RNA is filed under the name Debaryomyces hansenii. RNAcentral describes it as "eukaryotic LSU rRNA". It matches the Rfam family "Eukaryotic large subunit ribosomal RNA", at positions 33 to 669 of the family's 3401-position model. Lineage: Eukaryota; Fungi; Ascomycota; Pichiomycetes; Serinales; Debaryomycetaceae. The record is from RNAcentral.